This 113-nucleotide microRNA precursor is filed under the name Myotis lucifugus (little brown bat). Its description in RNAcentral is "microRNA 129-1 (ENSMLUG00000018002.1)". The stretch from base 10 to 84 matches the Rfam family "mir-129 microRNA precursor family". From Rfam's summary of the family: The mature sequence is excised from the 5' arm of the hairpin. Lineage: Eukaryota; Metazoa; Chordata; Mammalia; Chiroptera; Vespertilionidae. The record is from RNAcentral.
CUGCCUCCUUUGGAUCUUUUUGCGGUCUGGGCUUGCUGUUCCUCUCAACCGUAGUCAGGAAGCCCUUACCCCAAAAAGCAUCUUCGGGAGGCCUGGUCUGCAGGGGCGAUGCC